This is a long non-coding RNA of Salvia miltiorrhiza (redroot sage), 454 nucleotides long. RefSeq lists it as uncharacterized. The transcript is spliced from 3 exons. The record is from RefSeq and is a predicted model, not a curated record. NCBI's taxonomy places the organism in Eukaryota, Viridiplantae, Streptophyta, Magnoliopsida, Lamiales, Lamiaceae.
AACUUUCGACCACCACCUCUCUCCCUUCUCUCUCACAUUUCCUCCAUUGUCAACCAUGGGAGAGACCUUUGAAGCUUCACCAAAAUAUUUCAAACACAUAAAUCACCAACAAAAUCCCACAUAAACACAUCCUAGCUACUUGAAUUCAAGAGAAUCAUUGGAGAUUGCUUCCAAGGCUAGAGAGAGAAAGUGUGAUUGUUGGUGUAAAGUUUGGACACGAGCAGAGCAAGGAAGUAAGUAACUCCGCUUUGACGGGAGAUUUUGAGUAAGGUCUUCAGACUAAGCGAGGAGCGAGAUUGGUCUGGUGCUGGUGGGGAAUUGUUGGAGGAUGUAUUUACUUUAUCGUAUUUCCAUUUUGACGAUAAAGUCUUGAUGAUUGAUAUACUUUGAUUUUUUGUAGAAUUUAAGCAAUGUACUCACGGUUAUAUGUCUUCAUACAUAUAAUCGAUUCGCC